CUGAGUACUACACUCUCUACCCUUUGUGAACUAUUAUACCUGUUGCUUCGGCGGCGCCCGCGAGGGUGCCCGCCGGUCUCAUCAGAAUCUCUGUUUUCGAACCCGACGAUACUUCUGAGUGUUCUUGGCGAACUGUCA
Molecule: unclassified non-coding RNA, 138 nt
Filed under: soil metagenome
Description: partial internal transcribed spacer 1
Source: RNAcentral